This is a long non-coding RNA of Ceratitis capitata (Mediterranean fruit fly), 4965 nucleotides long. RefSeq lists it as uncharacterized. The record is from RefSeq and is a predicted model, not a curated record. The transcript has 3 exons. Lineage: Eukaryota; Metazoa; Arthropoda; Insecta; Diptera; Tephritidae.
CGUAAAAAACAACAUUUUAGAUUUAAAUCGACAGAAAAAACUCUGUGUGAAAAUUUUUUUUCUAAGAAGAAAUGCUGGCGAAGUCUCUUUCAUUCUGAAAUAUGCAAUAAACUUAAAUAGUGCCAAUAAAAACUCAUACAAAAUUAAUAGCGAGCAAAAUGUUUGCGAACUACGCAGUUUCUCAACCCAACCAGCUACCCGCCACGACCUGGCGGUGGAGCCAAAUCAGACUCAAAGCUUUUCUAAAGCAAAAUUUUGUAGGUAGAGUGAAAAAAGCGGCGACGGCUGACGACGACGACGACGUUGACCGCGAACAUGGCGAUGAACGGCGCUUGUCAGUGAUCUGUACAUAUUAGAGCGCAGCUCAACUCAACUCUCAACAAAGAAAAGUCCGACUUCAGGCGAUGACAAAAGCCUUGCAUUACAUUACUUAGUACUAGCUAUUUUGCGCUGCUAAUAGCUGGCUUUUACACCGGCGUUCGUGUGACGAGUUGACGUGUAGUUGAGAUUGAGCGUGGCGGAAGGGGAUGCGUGUGGAUAGGGGAGCUGGGCGUUAUGCGGGCGCACGAGUACUCCCCUAAAUUAUCUACCACAGUGUGUGUAGGGCGAAUCGCCUUCGUUUGUAUUCGACUGAGUUCGGACAUUCGGCAUUUGACGAAGUGCCACCAGCCACUAACCACCGAAAACAAACCAAGGCGAUCGGAAUUUGACAAACAAAGAAAAAAAAACGAAAAACAAACGGAACGAGUAAUGUCGCCAAUGUGACAGUUGUUGUUAUUAUUAUUCUUGUUGUUGCUGUUGUUGUUGUUGUUGUUGAUUGAUAUUCGUUGACGGCAGCGUCGACGACUUUAUAGCGCCACUUGAACAAUUAAUUUAGGACAAAUGCAACAACAACAACAACAACAAAAACAGUAACAAACGAGCAACAGUAAAAAGUAUUUUAUAACAACAAAAACAACAGCAACAACAAUAACAACACAUCAGUAACAGUAAUAAAAGAGGCUAAGACAAUACAGUGAAAGAGUGAACUUUGAAAUAAAUUUAAAAAUCAUUUAGGCCCGACAUACAUACAUAUACGUGUACGUAUAAUAUACAUAUUGUACAAACAUUCAUCCAGCCAUCCACUCAUAGACCUACAUAUACAGAAGAUCUUUGGCUAUGCGGAUACAUAUGCUGGCAAUCGAAAAUGGUGAUAUUUUGUAUUUUACAGCAGCAAGAUGGCGCUGCCCGAAUGUGUUAAUCAGAUAACUUUUACAGAAUCCAGAUAGUAAAGCACCAUUUUUCUACUAAUUUCAUAUAUGUAUAAAUUAAUUAAAUAUGAAAUCGACGCGCAGUCCGCCUACAAAGGAUGAAGGCGAAUACAACUUUUUGCCCCUCAGACUGACAGCAAAUAAAAAAUAGUAAAGAGACCGCUUGCAUUGGUUCUAGUUGUUUUAAGACUACAUAGGAACUAGUUCGAAAAAAAACUAUUUUCAAAGUAUAUGCACUCAAUACUGACUAGUUACAUAGUACGCUUCAUUGGGACUACUUUCACUUUAAGUAGCUACAUUUGCAACUAGUUGCUAUCUAGUUUAAUUCAAACAAUGAGUUUUCAACAAACUCAUCCUACUGCACUCAGCUUAAAAGCGAGAAGAAGCCCAAACCGCCAACACCUACAACAACUACAUACAAACAAUGAAAAGAAAUGAAGCAAUCAACAGCAACAAAUGUAAAAAUUAUAUAUGUAUGUACAUAUGUAUAUUCAAGCAAAACAAAAAUGAGAAGAGGCGGAAGAAGUCGCAGUGGAGGCGUCAGAGGCACCGACAUUUACAGCAGCAGCGGAACAUUGUAGCGCCAUCACCGCUCUUCAAAUGAAAUGGAAAUUGAAAAGCUCAACUAAAGCAAAAGUAACAGCAACAGCAACAGCAACGGCAAAAGCAACAGUAAUAGCAACGACGAAAACACUUCCGUCAUCGCCGCGGCUGUUAGCACAAGCGUAUAAAAUAAAACUAAAACAGACUUUGCACCAUUUUUCAAUGGCACGAGCGCCGAGAACAUUGAACUAUUUUCCACUUUUUAUAUACAUACAUACAUACAUAUGUAUAUGUAUAUGUAUAUACAAAUGUAUGCAUAUAUUUAUGUACAUACAUUCACAUUAGUCUAAAAAAACAUAUAUUUUUUUAUGGAAAGUGUUGGCGCUGCUAUAUUGAAGCGAUCGUUGGGACACUGAUACACUACACCCAAAAAGUCACAGACACAGUUAUUAUUUGUAUUGAAAAAACAAAAACAAAAAUGAAAAACAGAAAGAAAAAACAUAAUCGUCAGUGGCUGUACUAAGUAAAUGAGCAGCAACAACGGACGGUGAAAUGUAUUAGUCGACAAUCAGAAAGAAACCAAAAAAAUAAAAAAAAAAACUGUAGAGAACAGAAGAAACAUUUUGAAAAUUAUGAAAAGAAAAAACAUUGUCGUUGUUUUUGUAAAAGAAUUCAUGUGGACUGGGACUGAAUGGAGAAAGCCCUGGCAAAACGCUACAACAACAACAACAAGCUAAAUUCUAGCAGUGCGUGCAUGCUUAUCUGUUAGCUCUGAUCGACAAAACAAAUAUCGGUAUACUCAAAAAAAAAAAAAAAAAAAACGUGAUGGCACCGUUUUCUUGGACUUCGACUCGUCCCAUACCAACAGAGCAACACCACAGCCACCAUAAGUCAAAACGUCGAAAGAAACAACACAGCACCAAUAAUCACUAAUGACGACCAAAUAUGAAACCAUGAAUGAAGCAAUGAACGAAUGAAUGAAAAAACAGCAGCAACAACAAAUUAAGGAAAAAACUGUAAAAAGUGAAAAAAUCCAAAAUGAAAACAAACAUUGAAUAUUAUGCUCUGCUGAUAAGCUGGAAAUGCCCACACGCUGUUUCAUCACCUAUCAGCUUGCCUUCCUACUAGCCGGCCACCGACGCUACCGCCGCCACCAACGCCGAAAGCGUCAGCGUCACCUCAGUGCAGUUUGGGUCAAUAUACGCGUCCAACAUUUCACCGCUGCGCAGCGCUGCGUCUGCUUUCAUGCUGUUCCAUUUGUUCCAACUUGCUGGGAGUAUCCACCUUUGUUCUAGUCGUUUCCAGGGAAAAGGUCACUCAGAAAUAUUUAAUUAAGGAGAGAAAAGAAUUUCUAAGGAACACCAGCUUCUCAAGGUAUUUUGCGCUCAUUGUUUUUUUUUAACUAUAAAUAUACGUAGAGUACGCAUGUAAUACUCCUAGAAAUAGCUACAUUUUGAUUCUUUUUAGAAAUUUCUUUGAAAAAUAACGCCCUUCACUAUCGAUAUCUACCGAUUGAAGUAUUUGAAUGAUACUUCAAUGCACUUUUUGUAUAUUAUUUGGCCUUAAUUGUAUCAAUUAUUAUUUAAUAUUAUUUUAUUUAAUGAAAUUUCGCUUUUUUAUUUUACAUUGUUUUAUUUUGUUUAAUUCCUACUAGUUUUGUACAUUCUGCACAAAGUUGUUGGGAGAAUAUUUCAGCUUAUUUACAUUUCGUAUAUUAUCUAUAAGGAUUAAGCAAAUAGUUGUGAAAGUAAUUACAAAUAUAGGCAAUGCAAAGUGCACACUGUCAUCAUCUUUUGUGCUGUUAUUGCCGUCAUCAGCGCCAAUCAUCGUCACGAGCACAAUAGCAAACACAUAAACAAUCAGCAAUUGCAUUGUGUGCAUUGACGACGUCACCGCUGGCAUUGCUAUCAUCAUCGGCAACAACACCAACGUCAUCGGCAAUUCACAAUUCGCAUCCGCUACAUUUACCAACACACACACACACACACACACUCACACAUACACUUGUAGGUUUUUGUAUAGAUGUAUGUUUGAGAUAUUUGCACUGUGCACUGUGCGCUUGGUUGCAUCUGAUUUUACGCCGCUUCGUUUUUGUUGCCGCUAUUGUUGUGCGAUUUGCUGUUAGAUAAAAUUCUCAGACCUUGUUUGGUUAUUGUGCACGAUUAUUCGCUGCAUUAAGUGCCAUUUUUCCAUUGCUGUUAGCUGGUUAUUGCUGUUGUUCUAAGUGGUUGUAAUUAUUUGUAUGUAGAGACUGUGAUAGGGUUGAUUAUAUGAAACGGAACUCAAAUAUUAUAUGGCGAUGAUUUUUCUUCAUAGUGUCUUCAUAAAAAAUCCGUAAUAAUUUCACUAAAUAUUAAAAGGAACUACAAAUAGGUUACGUAUACGCAGUGUGGUCCAAAAAAAUAUAUUUGAUAUUCGCUGUUUGUUUCGGUACAAACCCAAUAUACAUAUUGUCACUUUAAAUUCAGUAUGCUGAUUAAUAUAAAUGGUUAAUAAAACAAAAACGUAAUUAUAAUAGUAAAUAUUUCGAUUCAUUUGUAGUAGGUUAUUGAAUUUUCAUACAUAUAUAUAUGUAUGUAUAAAUAUUUAUAUGCACUUGAUAGCAGGUUUAUGUAUUUCUACGUGCUUUUGUUCACAACAGAGCUGUCAUGCAUAAAAUUGCAGAUGGCAUAAUUGCCUUAAUAACUUCUUCAACUAAUUCCGCCUGAGUUGAGCAUAUACAUAUGUAUAUGUUAUGAGGGUAUGUUUCCAUGCAACAUGAGCGACCGCUCUUGGCUCUGUACUUUGAGCUGUGUGCCUUCAUCGUUAAGAGUAUUUUUAGUUAAAAAGGUUAGUAACGUUAGGGGAGUUUAAAAAAUACUAACGGUUUAUUUUCAAUCAUUAAUGGUAUUUAAAAAAAUCUCCAUUAUAUACAUAUAUGUAUCAAAGUGUCGAUAAUCAUGUGAAUAUGGUUGAUUGUAUUUAAAAAGUCUUUCAUUCAUUAAAAUGCUUAACUAUUCUUUAAUCUAAUGAAGUUGAGCGAGUCAUUAGUGAUUUUUAGACACUUUUCAUACAGUUUCACUUACAACUUGCAAACAUACAUAUACAAGUAUGUACGUCCAAAUAUACAGUUCGAGUUCAGUUCAAUAUACCUACCUAUUUACCUAUUUUUUUCUUUUUGAUUAAUUGAAUU